GGGGGAUAAUCGUCGGAAACGGCGUCUAAUACCCCGUAUGAAGCUGGACGGCAUCGUCUGGUUUUGAAAGAAUAUCGGAGACGGAUGGGCAUGCGGCGCAUUAGCUAGUUGGCGGGGUAACGGCCCACCAAGGCGACGAUGCGUAGGGGUUCUGAGAGGAAGGUCCCCCACACUGGUACUGAGACACGGACCAGACUCCUACGGGAGGCAGCAGUGAGGAAUAUUGGUCAAUGGGCGAGAGCCUGAACCAGCCAAGUCGCGUGAGGGAGUACUGCCCUAUGGGUUGUAAACCUCUUUUGUCGGGGAGCAAAAGUCGGACGUGUCCGUCUGUGAGAGUACCCGAAGAAAAAGCAUCGGCUAACUCCGUGCCAGCAGCCGCGGUAAUACGGAGGAUGCGAGCGUUAUCCGGAUUUAUUGGGUUUAAAGGGUGCGCAGGCGGAUUUUUAAGUCAGCGGUCAAAUCGUGGGGCUCAACCCCAUCCAGCCGUUGAAACUGGGAUCUAGAGUGUGCGAGAGGUAUGCGGAAUGCGUGGUGUAGCGGUGAAAUGCAUAGAUAUCACGCAGAACCCCGAUUGCGAAGGCAGCAUACCGGUGCACAACUGACGCUCAGGCACGAGAGCGUGGGUAUCGAACAGGAUUAGAUACCCUGGUAGUCCACGCAGUAAAC
This 666-nucleotide ribosomal RNA is filed under the name uncultured bacterium. Its description in RNAcentral is "bacterial SSU rRNA". It matches the Rfam family "Bacterial small subunit ribosomal RNA", at positions 138 to 807 of the family's 1533-position model. The record is from RNAcentral.